CAAAAUCCCAAAAAAAACAUAUCCUCCGAGCCUUUCUCAGUUCUCCCCCACGCGCAGACCCAUGCAGGGCUAGCCGCCCCAACGCCUCGCUUCUUCGUCCGGCCAGCUGCCCCGCCGCCUCCCUUCCCCGUCCGUCCCGCCGCCCGCCGCCGACCCCAUGAGGUGCCCCCCUUCCUCGUCCGGCUAGCCGGGCGGCCGCUGACCCCUGCGCCGCUUCCUUUCCUCGACUGGCAAGCCGCCUCCGCCGUCUCCACCUCCGCCUCUUUCCCUCGUCCAGCAAGCCGCAUCCGCCAUCCCCCGCCGCCCCCGCCGCCUCCGGAUGGACCGGAUCUGUUGUUACCCUGCGCGGAUGUGCCGGCCUCUCCACCCAUAUUUCCGGAUCUGCACAGUCCCUCCAAGGUACCGAAGCAGCUGCCCCUGCAAAGCUCAUGCUACACCACACGGAGGAGAUCGCAGAGACAUAUUUGCUAUAUUGUGAUGAUGGAAGGUUUAGUACUAGUACUCUACUCCCAUCUGUCCAUGUGUCUCUGGAGCUUCUAUUUUUUUGAACACAAGCAUGUACUAAUCUAAUUUGGUUGCUGUUGGUUUGGGCCGUGAGUAGAGUGCAUGGCGUAGUACUAUUGAUAUUUUGUCCUUAAAGUGUCGGAACAAUUAUAUAGUGAUGUCCUGGAAUCCAAUUUGUUUUAGUAAUAUUGAUAUCUUAUAGUGCACGUUCAUAGUUGAUAGAAGUGAACCAUGAUAAAUAAUUAUUGGUAUGCUUAACAUAUAAAUACAGAUUGUUCUGUAACUUGGAGAUACUCCUCUGCAUUUGUAGCUUAUGUUUACACUGUUGUUUAGCAAUGUGGGGAUACAUUAUGCAAACACGAAGGUUGAACUCUUGAAUCUACAAAGCAUUAUGCAUCCUCACCUUGAACCCGCCGCCGGACCCCGAGGUGCCAUUCGACUUCACAUGAGGUACCAUCACUGAGCUGAUUGAGGGUCACCUUCGAAUUCAGACCGAUGCUAUCCAUCGCUGUCCAUUACGCCAUGCUUAUGUCCGCCUCAUGUCAGUUAGUGAUCGGGAUUGACUCGUUCGUAAUAGUCCUCUUGUGCAUAAUGGAGUUCAGUUUACCUUCUGUGAGCAUAACAAAGGUGUUAACUGGCGUUCUUUUACCUAUAACCAAGAGGUUUGGCUGAUGUUGCUUGGUUUUGCACCGGAUUUGUGAGAUUCCAAAAACAUUUCUAAUGCUAUUGCUAAGUGGGGUACUUUGAUUCAUUGGGAUAGAGUUGUCAGCAAUACUGUGAGGGUGGUUAUCAAAGUUAGAGUUACUGAGCUGGGCCACAUUCCACAUAGCAUUGUUGUGUCUCAUGGUGAUGAUGUCCAUGCUGAGUCAUGGUCAGUUCUUGUGUUUAUUCUGAACUAGAGUAUGCUUGGUGGUCAGCCACCUAAUGAAGAUUUGCCACCACCUGAUGGAGCACCUCCUCACCAGCUCCCCUUGGUUCCCUUUCAGAUGGAUCAACCACUGGCUUGCCUGGCCUGACUGGUUUGCCUGGCCUGCUAAUCAGGCACAGAAUGAAGGAAAUGGGAACAAUGAUCCCCUUCCAGACCUGAUGCAGGUGAAUUUGGAUCCAUUGGGUAAUGUUAAUCCUGUUAUGGACAUGGAUCAGAUGCUGGCUGAUAUUGAGGAACUUGAUGAUGAUAGUGCUAUCACCCUCACGCUGAGUAGCAAUGCUCCUGCUAUUAGCUCUGAAGGUUCUGUGAAUGGGGAGUGGGGAGCAAUUUCAUCAGUUUCAUCAGGUUGAACCUGUCAUUAACCAAGAUCUGAUUGUGGGAAGGGUCAACAUUCCUGAAGUUAUUCAUUCUUUGGAUGACUUCCCUGCACUGAAUGGGCCUCAUCUUACUAUGCCUCAUUAUGAGAAGCUUGAGGUCACUAAUGAAGAAAAACUGAUCUCUCCUUGUCGUGGUGGUGUCACGGCAAAUGCCAUAGGAUGGCUUGAGAUGGGGCCGAUGGACGAAGGAGGAUCCGGAGGAGGGAUGGCGCGGUGUAAACCACGCACGAAAGUAAGGACACACGGUGUUUACCUAGGUUCGGAGCCCUCUUCAUGAGGUAAAGCUCCUACUCCUGCCUUGUUCGUAUUAGCCAAGAUAUGGAGGGCUACAAUGGUGCUCCUUGAUCUGUUUACAGAGGAGGAAGAAGGAGAAGGAGAACUCCUAAAAUGUCUAAGUGAGGAAUCCCCUCUCACAGGAGGGGUGGACCUUCUAUUUAUAGGCCAAAGGUGUCACACUGACAUGUGGACCCAAAGCAAACCCUAGCUACCAUCGGGCCCGCCGGGUACGCCCAUGGUCCCCUCCGGAUUGUCCGGGAGGGGACAAUGCAGCUUUGUGCUUUACGUACUGCCAGACUGCGCGUACUGUAGCCAUGCCCCGGCCUUCGUCAUCUGUCCUUCUACGGCGCGUCACUGUGCAGUCGCUCGGCAGAGCGACAUGAGCAACGACUGCUUUUCCGUCAUAAAGGGGUCGCUGCUUUACUUUGCGCCAUGUGAUCAGGAUAGGACUGUUGGCGCAUCCCGGCCUUAGCCGAGAUCAGCUAGUUCGUGCUUAUCCUGCGAUCACAUAAGACAAGAUAGAUAUGCCGGCACACUUUUGAUAUGCCGGCCGGUUAUUAAGUCGGCUUAAAGAUGCCGACGUACUUGCUUACGCCGGCUUUGCUCCCGUUAUCCCGGUUAAUACGUGUUGUCAUGACCCUACCUGGGGUCAUCCCCCCGACACUAGUCCCCGAAUCUGUUGCGGUUCGACAGGAAGUGAUGUCGGGCCACGACAGUUUCCCAAAACUCAAACAACUCAGGGCCUAGGAGGACUCGACCAAGGAAAACGCCGAUACAAUCCCGAGCUUUCUUAGCCGAGACUUGGCACCACCGACAUUUUUAGUCGGCGUGGUAUUUUCAGCUUUGAACCGAGAUUCCUCUCUUAAUCGCGGCCAGCAAUUGAGAACCUUUUUCUAUGGCCGACAUCAAUGCCACAUGUCGCGCUUAUUCCGCGCCUCACUUGGAUUUACUGCGCCACGUUGCGCAGUAACCGAGCGUGCGCCGUUUAUGGGGUUAAUCGCUCCCAUGAUCACGCGCUAUUUUACCGUUGGCCACAGGGAUCGUCGGUGUGGAAGAUCCGCGGCCCAUGAUUGCGCCCCGGCUAUAAAUAAGGGGACGGGGUGAAAGCUUUUACUUCCCCCCGAAACCCUUGCUUCUUCACUGCUCUCGCGCGUCCGCCAUUGCCGCACGCUCGGAGCUCCUUACCGCCGCGUUCCUUGCCUCUGGUAGCCAAGCUCGCCGUUGCACUCUUGCGCGCGCUCGUCUGCGUUUCCGCCGCUCUUCCCUUGCUCGCCCGCGCCUCGCGCUGCCACUCUCUCGCCGGAGCAGACCCAGAUUUGUUUCUGCGCCAUGGCCUCUUCUUCUCGUUACGCCGCCGCCGUCGACCCCGCCGUUCUGCAAAUCGAGGAGGACGCCGGCUCGGAGCGUGCCGGAUGGAAGGGCUCCGACGUGUCUCCGGCGGACAUCGACUGGCACCGCCGCACCCGGCGGAUCCCGGAGGAGGUGGAGUGCCGGAUUCCUGAUGAUGGGGUCGUGCCGACACCUGAGCCCGGUGAGUUUGUUGUCUUCGUUUCGCAUUUCGAACGCGGCUUCAGGCUCCCGGUUACUGAUUUGGUCCGGCAGUUUCUUGACCAUUUCUUGACCAUUUUGGCCUCCAGCCUCAGCACCUUCCGGCCAAUGCCAUUCUUACCCGCUCCGCUUUUGUCACCUGCUCUGAGAGCUAUCUCGGCCUCUGGCCUUCCGUUGAUCUGUGGGCCAAAUAUUUUAUGUUCCGGCCCCAGGUUCUUCACAAUCCCGACGCCGUUAAGCCCAUGACUCAAUGCGGCCCCGCCACUGUCUUGAGUCCUGCAAAAAGUGGCUCAAGACCUUUUUCUAUGUCAUGAACGCCUCUGACACUGACAAAAUAAAUUUGUCGGGAUUCAUAGUCAGCCCGUCGGAGGAGAAAAGAACUGGAAACAUGACCCCAAGGAUUCUCUACCGGAGAUUAAUGAGGUUCAUUCCGGCAUCAUCGCGCUGAAGUAGAACGGGAUGACGGCUGACGAUCUGUUGGCCACGUUUGUGUUCCGGUGAGUCUGCCCGCUCCAACGCCGGACACACAAGAUGUGUUUCCACAGCGGCCGGUUUGACCCGAACCGAGUUUCAACCAUCAUGUUGGACAAAUUCGAGGUUCGACGCCGAGUCAAGGGGAUUGCUAAGACUAACCUGUCCGAGAACUGGAGUUGGGGCAUGGUACCAUAUAUCCAGAAGAACCAUGCGCCCUUGAAAUUUACGCUCCAACGCAAUGAGGACGGGGACUCGCUAGACAAGCGCUUCGGAAGCGAUCGCUUGGGAGUUGACUCAGAAGACCCGGAUUCGGAGCAUCACAUGCCGAUUCCUCAUGCCGACCCCAGACGUGUUGUAGGUAAUAACUCCCGACCUCCUCUCAUGGAUAUCAGAGCUCUUAUCUCCAAAAUGCUCAUGUCUGCUUUUGUCCGGGAACAACUGACUUGGACGAUCCGAGCCUUGCUGCGGCCCUUGCUGCUGCUCAGGUGUCGACCGGCGAGAAGCGCAUUGCCGACACAGAGCUUUCCACGACUAUGAAGCGGAAGAAAACCGCUGGCUGGCAACCGAAGCCGAAACCCAUGGUCGUCGGGUAGGCUCCGACUGCCACCCAGUCCCAGACCUGCAUCGCGUCCGAGAUCCCGGCAACCUCGUCUCCGUGCAGAGCCUUCUGCUCAGGCCACGGAAGAAACCGAGACCGCCACAGAUCCGACAUCCCCCAUCCAGGAUGUCGGCCCUGGCAUCGGUGCUUCGAGCGUCGCCCAAGCUGGGACGUCGGCAGUCGAGACUGCUCCUUCGCCAGCAGCGCCUAAUGCGUAGCCGCAACCAUUGGCCGCGGAUCCUCUUCGUCAGCCGGCGGCGCAGCCUCAACGACCUCAAGCCACAGCAACGCCGCCGCAGCAGCAGCCACCGCAGUCGCAACCGACGCAGCUAGCGGCUGCUCGAGAAAAAAAGACUAGGAGUUAUGCCAUCCCGACGGGACAGCAGCCUCUAAGUUCAUCCGGCUCACCGUCAAUUCGGGGUACUCAAGGAGUUCCUCUUAGGACAACGAGCGGGCACAGCUGGGGAUCUCUCAGCCAAUAUGCCAUGGACUGGAACAGCGCCGACAGCUACGAGGUUAACCCCGGCACAAUCCAGACAGCGCAGCAGAAUGCUCUGGUUGGGCCAUCACCCGUGGCGGCGACUUCAGAGUCGGUGGCGGCCCGGAUAUUCCAGGCACGAGUUGCGCUGUUCGAGUCCAGCCGAGCUGCCGAGAGCUGUAUGAAUAAACGGAACUCGAUCUUCAAACUUCUGCUUGCGUCACACCGGAAAUUGACGGACAAGCACAAGGCUUUGGUGGCCGAGCUGCAAAACAAGACUCAGUACACUUCCACCGACAUACAAACUAUACCGAGUUACCUAUGUACUUUGAAAACUGACAUGUGCCGACAUAAACAGCUAGCGGAGAUUCAACUAGCGGAGCAGCAACGAGAUGAGGUGGCCCGGCUAAGGGCGCAACUUGAAGCGCAAGGCGAGGCGCAUAAGGCCGAGGUAGUCCAACUUACCUCAGUGCUUUCUGCGCAAGCUGACGAGAAGAUCCGCCUGGAAGGCGAAGUCCAAAAUACAAGGAUCUUCUCGCCGAACCCGAGACUCGAGCUACCACUGCUGAAGAGGAGAAGACCGAGAGCACACAUAUGCUAAGCGUGUGCACAAGGGAUCUCGGCAAGAUAGAUGGAUUGCUAGCCAAAAUCUUCCCGCAUUCUACCGAAGCUGUGCAGGCCGCCGUGAUUAAAACUCGUGGAAAGAGGGAUUCGUCCAAGGCAUUGCCAUCAGAUUUUUCUCGGAGAGCGAACCUUGCGAGUGUGACGAGUGUUUGAACUCGAACUACUGUG
Long non-coding RNA from Brachypodium distachyon (stiff brome), 5975 nucleotides. RefSeq lists it as uncharacterized. NCBI's taxonomy places the organism in Eukaryota, Viridiplantae, Streptophyta, Magnoliopsida, Poales, Poaceae. The transcript has 8 exons. The record is from RefSeq and is a predicted model, not a curated record.